GCUGCUGCUGAUGCUGCUGCUGCUGAUGCUGCUGAUGCUGCUGAUGCUGCUGAUGCUGCUGAUGCUGCUGAUGCUGCUGCUGCUGCUGCUGCUGAUGCUGCUGCUGCUGAUGCUGCUGAUGCUGCUGCUGAU
This 132-nucleotide small RNA is filed under the name Drosophila guanche. The record is from RNAcentral. Lineage: Eukaryota; Metazoa; Arthropoda; Insecta; Diptera; Drosophilidae.